RNAcentral lists this ribosomal RNA (615 nucleotides) under Lodderomyces parapsilosis. RNAcentral describes it as "eukaryotic LSU rRNA". It matches the Rfam family "Eukaryotic large subunit ribosomal RNA", at positions 37 to 668 of the family's 3401-position model. The record is from RNAcentral. Lineage: Eukaryota; Fungi; Ascomycota; Pichiomycetes; Serinales; Debaryomycetaceae.
UGCAUAUCAAUAAGCGGAGGAAAAGAAACCAACAGGGAUUGCCUUAGUAGCGGCGAGUGAAGCGGCAAAAGCUCAAAUUUGAAAUCUGGCACUUUCAGUGUCCGAGUUGUAAUUUGAAGAAGGUAUCUUUGGGUCUGGCUCUUGUCUAUGUUUCUUGGAACAGAACGUCACAGAGGGUGAGAAUCCCGUGCGAUGAGAUGUCCCAGACCUAUGUAAAGUUCCUUCGAAGAGUCGAGUUGUUUGGGAAUGCAGCUCUAAGUGGGUGGUAAAUUCCAUCUAAAGCUAAAUAUUGGCGAGAGACCGAUAGCGAACAAGUACAGUGAUGGAAAGAUGAAAAGAACUUUGAAAAGAGAGUGAAAAAGUACGUGAAAUUGUUGAAAGGGAAGGGCUUGAGAUCAGACUUGGUAUUUUGUAUGUUACUCUCUCGGGGGUGGCCUCUACAGUUUACCGGGCCAGCAUCAGUUUGAGCGGUAGGAUAAGUGCAAAGAAAUGUGGCACUGCUUCGGUAGUGUGUUAUAGUCUUUGUCGAUACUGCCAGCUUAGACUGAGGACUGCGGCUUCGGCCUAGGAUGUUGGCAUAAUGAUCUUAAGUCGCCCGUCUUGAAACACGGACCA